Long non-coding RNA from Anopheles funestus (African malaria mosquito), 2746 nucleotides. RefSeq lists it as uncharacterized. The transcript has 3 exons. The record is from RefSeq and is a predicted model, not a curated record. Lineage: Eukaryota; Metazoa; Arthropoda; Insecta; Diptera; Culicidae.
GUAACACUAAUUUUGAUAGAUCAGCUCAUUGACUACCAUAAGUUGUUCCAUGUCGAUAUGCUCAGAUGUCUGUGGAAAAAGUUAUUCGAGAUACAAAGACUUAACAUUUUCUCGGUUUUUCUAAAAAAAUCCUCAUUUUUCCACUUUGCAUGCUCAUAACUCGGUCAGUUUUCGACGGAUCUUCAGUUGUAACACAGAUUUGGAUAGAUCAGCUCAUUAGCUACCAUAAGUUGUUCCAUGCCGAUAUGCUCAGAUGUCUGUGGAAAAAGUUAUUCGAGAUACAAAGACUUAACAUUUUCUCGGUUUUUCUAAAAAAAUCCUCAUUUUGCCACUUUGCAUGCUCAUAACUCGGUCAGUUUUCGACGGAUCUUCAGUUGUAACACAGAUUUGGAUAGAUCAGCUCAUUGACUACCAUAAGUUGUUCCAUGUCGAUAUGCUCAGAUGUCUGUGGAAAAAGUUAUUCGAGAUACAAAGACUUAACAUUUUCUCGGUUUUUCUAAAAAAAUCCUCAUUUUGCCACUUUGCAUGCUCAUAACUCGGUCAGUUUUCGACGGAUCUUCAAUUGUAACACUAAUUUUGAUAGAUCAGCUCAUUGACUACCAUAAGUUGUUCCAUGUCGAUAUGCUCAGAUGUCUGUGGAAAAAGUUAUUCGAGAUACAAAGACUUAACAUUUUCUCGGUUUUUCUAAAAAAUUCCUCAUUUUGCCACUUUGCAUGCUCAUAACUCGGUCAGUUUUCGACGGAUCUUCAAUUGUAACACAGAUUUGGAUAGAUCAGCUCAUUAGCUACCAUAAGUUGUUCCAUGCCGAUAUGCUCAGAUGUCUGUGGAAAAAGUUAUUCGAGAUACAAAGACUUAACAUUUUCUCGGUUUUUAAAAAAAAAUCCUUAUUUUGCUACUUUGCAUGCUCAUAACUCGGUCAGUUUUCGACGGAUCUUCAGUUGUAACACAGAUUUGGAUAGAUCAGCUCAUUGGCUACCAUAAAUUGUUCCAUGCCGAUAUGCACAGAUGUCUGUGGAAAAAGUUAUUCGAGAUACAAAGACUUAACAUUUUCUCGGUUUUUCUAAAAAAAUCCUCAUUUUGCCACUUUGCAUGCUCAUAACUCGGUCAGUUUUCGACGGAUCUUCAGUUGUAACACAGAUUUGGAUAGAUCAGCUCAUUGACUACCAUAAGUUGUUCCAUGUCGAUAUGCUCAGAUGUCUGUGGAAAAAGUUAUUCGAGAUACAAAGACUUAACAUUUUCUCGGUUUUUCUAAAAAAAUCCUCAUUUUGCCACUUUGCAUGCUCAUAACUCGGUCAGUUUUCGACGGAUCUUCAGUUGUAACACAGAUUUGGAUAGAUCAGCUCAUUGACUACCAUAAGUUGUUCCAUGUCGAUAUGCUCAGAUGUCUGUGGAAAAAGUUAUUCGAGAUACAAAGACUUAACAUUUUCUCGGUUUUUCUAAAAAAAUCCUCAUUUUGCCACUUUGCAUGCUCAUAACUCGGUCAGUUUUCGACGGAUCUUCAAUUGUAACACUAAUUUUGAUAGAUCAGCUCAUUGACUACCAUAAGUUGUUCCAUGUCGAUAUGCUCAGAUGUCUGUGGAAAAAGUUAUUCGAGAUACAAAGACUUAACAUUUUCUCGGUUUUUCUAAAAAAUUCCUCAUUUUGCCACUUUGCAUGCUCAUAACUCGGUCAGUUUUCGACGGAUCUUCAAUUGUAACACAGAUUUGGAUAGAUCAGCUCAUUAGCUACCAUAAGUUGUUCCAUGCCGAUAUGCUCAGAUGUCUGUGGAAAAAGUUAUUCGAGAUACAAAGACUUAACAUUUUCUCGGUUUUUCAAAAAAAAUCCUCAUUUUGCUACUUUGCAUGCUCAUAACUCGGUCAGUUUUCAACGGCUCUUCAAUUGUAACACAGAUUUGGAUAGAUCUGCUUAUUGGCUACCAUAAGUUGUUCCAUGUCGAUGUGCUCAGAUGUCUGUGGAAAAAGUUAUUCGAGAUACAAAGACUUAACAUUUUCUCGGUUUUUCCAAAAAAAUCCUCAUUUUGCUACUUUGCAUGCUCAUAACUCGGUCAGUUUUCGACGGAUCUUCAAUUGUAACACAGAUUUGGAUAGAUCUGUUCAUUAGCUACCAUAAGUUGUUUCACGUCGAUGUGCUCAGAUGUCUGUGGAAAAAGUUAUUCGAGAUAGAAAGACUUAACAUUUUCUCGGUUUUUCUUAAAAAUUCCUCAUUUUGCUACUUUGCAUGCUCAUAACUCGGUCAGUUUUCGACAAAUCUUCAACUGUAAAACAGAUUUUGAUAGAUCAGCUCAUUGGCUACCAUAAGUUGUUUAACGUCGAUGUGCUCAGAUGUCUGUGGAAAAAGUUAUUCGAGAUAGAAAGACUUAACAUUUUCUCGGUUUUUACAAAAAAUUCCUCAUUUUGCUACUUUGCAUGCUCAUAACUCGGUCAGUUUUCGACGGAUCUUCAGUUGUAACACAGAUUUGGAUAAAUCUGCUCAUUGGCUACCAUAAGUUGUUUCACGUCGAUGUGCUCAGAUGUCUGUGGAAAAAGUUAUUCGAGAUACAAAGACUUAACAUUUUCUCGGUUUUUCUAAAAAAUUCCUCAUUUUGCCAAUUUGCAUGCUCAUAACUCGGUCAGUUUUCGACGGAUCUUUAGUUGUAACACAGAUUUGGAUAGAUCAGCUCAUUGGCUACCAUAAGUUGUUCCAUGUCGAUAUGCUCAGAUGUCUGUGGAAAAAGUUAUUCGAGAUACAAAGACUUAACAUUUUCUCG